ACGCUCGACACCUACGGGAGACAGCAGUGGGGAAUAUUGCACAAUGGAAGAAACUCUGAUGCAGCGACGCCGCGUGAGCGAAGAAGUAUUUCGGUAUGUAAAGCUCUAUCAGCAGGGAAGAAAAAGGACGGUACCUGACUAAGAAGCUCCGGCUAAAUACGUGCCAGCAGCCGUGGUAAUCUGAGCGGGCUGGCAAGGC
This 199-nucleotide ribosomal RNA is filed under the name uncultured bacterium. Its description in RNAcentral is "partial 16S ribosomal RNA". It matches the Rfam family "Bacterial small subunit ribosomal RNA", at positions 328 to 539 of the family's 1533-position model. The record is from RNAcentral.